AUUGAACGCUGGCGGCAUGCUUUACACAUGCAAGUCGAACGGCAGCGCGGGCUUCGGCCUGGCGGCGAGUGGCGAACGGGUGAGUAAUACAUCGGAACGUGCCCUGUAGUGGGGGAUAGCUCGGCGAAAGCCGGAUUAAUACCGCAUACGACCUGAGGGUGAAAGCGGGGGAUCUUCGGACCUCGCGCUAUUGGAGCGGCCGAUGGCAGAUUAGCUAGUUGGUGGGGUAAAGGCCUACCAAGGCGACGAUCUGUAGCUGGUCUGAGAGGACGACCAGCCACACUGGGACUGAGACACGGCCCAGACUCCUACGGGAGGCAGCAGUGGGGAAUUUUGGACAAUGGGCGAAAGCCUGAUCCAGCAAUGCCGCGUGUGUGAUGAAGGCCUUCGGGUUGUAAAGCACUUUUGGCGGGAACGAAAAGGACUGUGCCAAUACCACGGUUCGAUGACGGUACCCGCAGAAUAAGCACCGGCUAACUACGUG
This 484-nucleotide ribosomal RNA is filed under the name uncultured bacterium. RNAcentral describes it as "partial 16S ribosomal RNA". It matches the Rfam family "Bacterial small subunit ribosomal RNA", at positions 29 to 507 of the family's 1533-position model. The record is from RNAcentral.